RNAcentral lists this ribosomal RNA (158 nucleotides) under Phyllosticta philoprina. Its description in RNAcentral is "5.8S ribosomal RNA". The stretch from base 42 to 158 matches the Rfam family "5.8S ribosomal RNA", at positions 1 to 117 of the family's 154-position model. From Rfam's summary of the family: 5.8S ribosomal RNA (5.8S rRNA) is a component of the large subunit of the eukaryotic ribosome. It is transcribed by RNA polymerase I as part of the 45S precursor that also contains 18S and 28S rRNA. Lineage: Eukaryota; Fungi; Ascomycota; Dothideomycetes; Botryosphaeriales; Phyllostictaceae. The record is from RNAcentral.
GAUUAUUUCAUGCGGUCCUGAUAAAUUAUUCAAUUAAUUAAAACUUUCAACAACGGAUCUCUUGGUUCUGGCAUCGAUGAAGAACGCAGCGAAAUGCGAUAAGUAAUGUGAAUUGCAGAUUUCAGUGAAUCAUCGAAUCUUUGAACGCACAUUGCGCC